Long non-coding RNA from Alligator mississippiensis (American alligator), 853 nucleotides. RefSeq lists it as uncharacterized. NCBI's taxonomy places the organism in Eukaryota, Metazoa, Chordata, Crocodylia, Alligatoridae. The transcript is spliced from 2 exons. The record is from RefSeq and is a predicted model, not a curated record.
CCCAGGCUGGGGGCCGUGUCUGCGCGCCCGUCCCGCCCAUGCCGCGAGGAUCGGGCGGAGGCGUCCCCGUGGGGACGUGGCUCUUGCAGCGCAGGAGCGGCCGGACCCAGGCGGGAGCUGGAGGCGCGGGCAGAGCCCACGGGGGAAGCGGCCCCUCGUCACCGUCCUGCCGCGAGCGGGAGGAGGCCGGCGCUGGGCGGGACCGCUGGGUCCGGGGCAGACCCCGGGUGGGGUCGCUGUGCCGCCGCAGCGGGGGGGGCCGGGGGGCCGUGCUGCGGAGCCGCCCCCGGGCCCCGGCGCAGCCCGGCUCUGAGCGCAAGGAAGCGGCGGAGAUCUUAAGAGACACCCCCCCCCCUCCGACCCGCAUCUCUUUGGAGUAUCCUUCAAUCAUCUGGAUGGAAGAGGGGGCAGGCGAGAAAGAAAGCAACCCACAGUCUCACCAAUCCAAGAGGAAAAGAAAACAGUAGAGGAAAGAGUUUAAUUUACAUUGGAGACGCUCUUGGUUUCUGAGGGUGGUGAGACAUAAUAGGAAAGGUGAGGGGCUUGCCUGAGUAGAAAAAGAAAUCUUGACAACGCUGUGAUAUUUUAAUCCUGCUUUUAUUUAGUGAUCUCUGUCUUUAGAGUCUGAUUUUUUUCUGUGACUGAGCCAAAUAUCAGAUGGAGAAUGCAGAAUCCCCACCUUCACUCCACUUAUAACCAUCUCAUUAAGCCUUUCCUAGACAUUAGAAGUUGGAUUCUUUAUACAUUUCAUUCUUAUUCAUUUUGACCAUCCAUUAUUUUGUUUGUUCUUCUUUCUGGAAAUACUUAGGAAGACUGAAAACUGUUCCCACUUAUAAAUCACUGUUGUCACAUG